RNAcentral lists this ribosomal RNA (253 nucleotides) under uncultured bacterium. Its description in RNAcentral is "partial 16S ribosomal RNA". It matches the Rfam family "Bacterial small subunit ribosomal RNA", at positions 524 to 776 of the family's 1533-position model. The record is from RNAcentral.
UACGUAGGGGGCUAGCGUUGUCCGGAUUUAUUGGGCGUAAAGAGCGUGUAGGCGGCCAGGUAGGUCUGCUGUGAAAACUCGGGGCUCAACCCCGAGCCUGCAGUCGAUACGGGCAGACUAGAGUGCGGUAGGGGAGACUGGAAUUCCUGGUGUAGCGGUGAAAUGCGCAGAUAUCAGGAGGAACACCGGUGGCGAAGGCGGGUCUCUGGGCCGUAACUGACGCUGAGGAGCGAAAGCGUGGGGAGCAAACAGG